GACGAACGCUGGCGGCGUGCUUAACACAUGCAAGUCGAACGGAAAGGCCCUGCUUUUGUGGGGUGCUCGAGUGGCGAACGGGUGAGUAACACGUGAGUAACCUGCCCUUGACUUUGGGAUAACUUCAGGAAACUGGGGCUAAUACCGGAUAGGAGCUCCUGCUGCAUGGUGGGGGUUGGAAAGUUUUGGCGGUUGGGGAUGGACUCGCGGCCUAUCAGCUUGUUGGUGGGGUAGUGGCUUACCAAGGCUUUGACGGGUAGCCGGCCUGAGAGGGUGACCGGCCACAUUGGGACUGAGAUACGGCCAAGACUCCUACGGGAGGCAGCAGGGGGGAAUAUUGCACAAUGGGCGGAAGCCUGAUGAAGCAACGCCGCGUGCGGGAUGACGGCCUUCGGGUUGUAAACCGCUUUAGCAGGUGACGAAGCGUAAGUGACGGUAAUGGGUAAAGAAGCACCGGCUAACUACGUG
This 468-nucleotide ribosomal RNA is filed under the name uncultured bacterium. Its description in RNAcentral is "partial 16S ribosomal RNA". It matches the Rfam family "Bacterial small subunit ribosomal RNA", at positions 28 to 507 of the family's 1533-position model. The record is from RNAcentral.